RNAcentral lists this ribosomal RNA (1728 nucleotides) under Salmonella enterica. Its description in RNAcentral is "partial 23S ribosomal RNA". It matches the Rfam family "Bacterial large subunit ribosomal RNA", at positions 1091 to 2802 of the family's 2925-position model. The record is from RNAcentral. Lineage: Bacteria; Pseudomonadati; Pseudomonadota; Gammaproteobacteria; Enterobacterales; Enterobacteriaceae.
AGCCAGGAUGUUGGCUUAGAAGCAGCCAUCAUUUAAAGAAAGCGUAAUAGCUCACUGGUCGAGUCGGCCUGCGCGGAAGAUGUAACGGGGCUAAACCAUGCACCGAAGCUGCGGCAGCGACACUGUGUGUUGUUGGGUAGGGGAGCGUUCUGUAAGCCUGUGAAGGUGUGUCGUGAGGCAUGCUGGAGGUAUCAGAAGUGCGAAUGCUGACAUAAGUAACGAUAAAGCGGGUGAAAAGCCCGCUCGCCGGAAGACCAAGGGUUCCUGUCCAACGUUAAUCGGGGCAGGGUGAGUCGACCCCUAAGGCGAGGCCGAAAGGCGUAGUCGAUGGGAAACGGGUUAAUAUUCCCGUACUUGGUGUUACUGCGAAGGGGGGACGGAGAAGGCUAUGUUGGCCGGGCGACGGUUGUCCCGGUUUAAGCGUGUAGGUGUGUGUUCCAGGUAAAUCCGGUUCACUUUAACACUGAGGCGUGACGACGAGGCACUACGGUGCUGAAGCAACAAAUGCCCUGCUUCCAGGAAAAGCCUCUAAGCAUCAGGUAACAUCAAAUCGUACCCCAAACCGACACAGGUGGUCAGGUAGAGAAUACCAAGGCGCUUGAGAGAACUCGGGUGAAGGAACUAGGCAAAAUGGUGCCGUAACUUCGGGAGAAGGCACGCUGACACGUAGGUGAAGUGAUUUACUCAUGGAGCUGAAGUCAGUCGAAGAUACCAGCUGGCUGCAACUGUUUAUUAAAAACACAGCACUGUGCAAACACGAAAGUGGACGUAUACGGUGUGACGCCUGCCCGGUGCCGGAAGGUUAAUUGAUGGGGUCAGCGCAAGCGAAGCUCCUGAUCGAAGCCCCGGUAAACGGCGGCCGUAACUAUAACGGUCCUAAGGUAGCGAAAUUCCUUGUCGGGUAAGUUCCGACCUGCACGAAUGGCGUAAUGAUGGCCAGGCUGUCUCCACCCGAGACUCAGUGAAAUUGAACUCGCUGUGAAGAUGCAGUGUACCCGCGGCAAGACGGAAAGACCCCGUGAACCUUUACUAUAGCUUGACACUGAACAUUGAGCCUUGAUGUGUAGGAUAGGUGGGAGGCUUUGAAGUGUGGACGCCAGUCUGCAUGGAGCCGACCUUGAAAUACCACCCUUUAAUGUUUGAUGUUCUAACGUGGACCCGUUACCCGGGUUGCGGACAGUGUCUGGUGGGUAGUUUGACUGGGGCGGUCUCCUCCUAAAGAGUAACGGAGGAGCACGAAGGUUGGCUAAUCCUGGUCGGACAUCAGGAGGUUAGUGCAAUGGCAUAAGCCAGCUUGACUGCGAGCGUGACGGCGCGAGCAGGUGCGAAAGCAGGUCAUAGUGAUCCGGUGGUUCUGAAUGGAAGGGCCAUCGCUCAACGGAUAAAAGGUACUCCGGGGAUAACAGGCUGAUACCGCCCAAGAGUUCAUAUCGACGGCGGUGUUUGGCACCUCGAUGUCGGCUCAUCACAUCCUGGGGCUGAAGUAGGUCCCAAGGGUAUGGCUGUUCGCCAUUUAAAGUGGUACGCGAGCUGGGUUUAGAACGUCGUGAGACAGUUCGGUCCCUAUCUGCCGUGGGCGCUGGAGAACUGAGGGGGGCUGCUCCUAGUACGAGAGGACCGGAGUGGACGCAUCACUGGUGUUCGGGUUGUCAUGCCAAUGGCACUGCCCGGUAGCUAAAUGCGGAAGAGAUAAGUGCUGAAAGCAUCUAAGCACGAAACUUGCCCCGA